Molecule: ribosomal RNA, 301 nt
Filed under: uncultured bacterium
Lineage: Bacteria
Description: partial 16S ribosomal RNA
Rfam family: Bacterial small subunit ribosomal RNA
Source: RNAcentral
CAGCAGCCGCGGUAAUACGAAGGGGGCUAGCGUUGUUCGGAAUUACUGGGCGUAAAGCGCACGUAGGCGGAUAUUUAAGUCAGGGGUGAAAUCCCAGAGCUCAACUCUGGAACUGCCUUUGAUGCUGGGUAUCUUGAGUAUGGAAGAGGUGAGUGGAAUUCCGAGUGUAGAGGUGAAAUUCGUAGAUAUUCGGAGGAACACCAGUGGCGAAGGCGGCUCACUGGUCCAUUACUGACGCUGAGGCUCGAAAGCGUGGGUAGCGAACAGGAUUAGAUACCCCCGUAGUCCCUGUCUCUUAUAC